AAUAGAUACCCGGGUAGUCCACGCCGUAAACGAUGAGUGCUAAGUGUUAGGGGGUUUCCGCCCCUUAGUGCUGCAGCUAACGCAUUAAGCACUCCGCCUGGGGAGUACGGUCGCAAGACUGAAACUCAAAGGAAUUGACGGGGGCCCGCACAAGCGGUGGAGCAUGUGGUUUAAUUCGAAGCAACGCGAAGAACCUUACCAGGUCUUGACAUCCCGCUGACCGCUAUGGAGACAUAGCUUUCCCUUCGGGGACAGCGGUGACAGGUGGUGCAUGGUUGUCGUCAGCUCGUGUCGUGAGAUGUUGGGUUAAGUCCCGCAACGAGCGCAACCCUUGUCCUUAGUUGCCAUCAUUCAGUUGGGCACUCUAAGGAGACUGCCGUACAAAUACGGAGGAAGGUGGGGAUGACGUCAAAUCAUCAUGCCCCUUAUGACCUGGGCUACACACGUGCUACAAUGGACGGUACAAACGGUUGCGAAGUCGCGAGACGGAGCCAAUCCGAGAAAGCCGUUCUCAGUUCGGAUUGCAGGCUGCAAC
This 535-nucleotide ribosomal RNA is filed under the name uncultured bacterium. RNAcentral describes it as "bacterial SSU rRNA". It matches the Rfam family "Bacterial small subunit ribosomal RNA", at positions 777 to 1311 of the family's 1533-position model. The record is from RNAcentral.